GAUGAACGCUGGCGGCGUGCCUAAUACAUGCAAGUCGAGCGAACAGAUGAGGAGCUUGCUCCUCUGACGUUAGCGGCGGACGGGUGAGUAACACGUGGAUAACCUACCUAUAAGACUGGGAUAACUUCGGGAAACCGGAGCUAAUACCGGAUAAUAUAUUUAACCGCAUGGUUCAAUAGUGAAAGACGGUUUUGCUUUCACUUAUAGAUGGAUCCGCGCCGCAUUAGCUAGUUGGUAAGGUAACGGCUUACCAAGGCAACGAUGCGUAGCCGACCUGAGAGGGUGAUCGGCCACACUGGAACUGAGACACGGUCCAGACUCCUACGGGAGGCAGCAGUAGGGAAUCUUCCGCAAUGGGCGAAAGCCUGACGGAGCAACGCCGCGUGAGUGAUGAAGGUCUUCGGAUCGUAAAACUCUGUUAUUAGGGAAGAACAAAUGUGUAAGUAACUAUGCACGUCUUGACGGUACCUAAUCAGAAAGCCACGGCUAACUACGU
Molecule: ribosomal RNA, 496 nt
Filed under: uncultured bacterium
Lineage: Bacteria
Description: partial 16S ribosomal RNA
Rfam family: Bacterial small subunit ribosomal RNA
Source: RNAcentral